UUAAAUGAAUAAGGGCGUAUGGUGGAUGCCUAGGCAUGUAGAGCAGAAGAAGGACGCAGCUAACGGCGAAACGCGACGGGGAGUGGUAAGCACACAUCGAUCCGUCGGUCUCCGAAUGGGGAAACCCAGCGCGAGUAAUGUCGCGUUACCCAUGAGUGAAUACAUAGCUCAUGAGGAGAGAACCCAGGGAAUUGAAACAUCUUAGUACCUGGAGGAAAAGAAAAUAACAAUGAUUCCCUUAGUAGCGGCGAGCGAACGGGGAAGAGCCCAAACCAGCCUUAGGGCUGGGGUAGUAGGACCACGACGUGGUACAGUAACCGAUAGAAGAAGGACAUUGAAAGGUCCGCCAAAGAGGGUGCAAGCCCCGUAAUCGAAAUUGGGAGCUGACCUAGUGGAAUCCUGAGUACGGCGAGGCACGUGGAACCUUGUCGGAAGCAUCCGGGACCAUCCGGAAAGGCUAAAUACUCCUACAUGACCGAUAGUGAACCAGUACCGUGAGGGAAAGGUGAAAAGAACCGCGGGAGCGGAGUGAAAUAGAACCUGAAACCAUAUGCUUACAAGAAGACAGAGCCCGUUAAGGGGUGAUGUCGUGCCUUUUGUAGAAUGAACCGGCGAGUUAUCUUAUCGUGCGAGGUUAAGUGGAAGACACGGAGCCGAAGCGAAAGCGAGUCUGAAUAGGGCGGGAGUACGAUGAGAUAGACCCGAAGCCGUAGUGAUCUAGCCAUGACCAGGUUGAAGUUUGGGUGAAACCAAAUGGAGGACCGAACCGACCCCCGUUGAAAAGUUGGCGGAUGAGUUGUGGCUAGCGGAGAAAUUCCAAUCGAACACGGCGAUAGCUGGUUCUCCCCGAAAUAGCUUUAGGGCUAGCGUCGAAGUAAGGGUAGUGGAGGUAGAGCACUGAAUUCAUGAUGGCGCCGUCAAGGUGUACUGAAUGAAAUCAAACUCCGAAUGCCAUUAUGUCAUCUUCGGCAGUCAGACUGUGGGUGAUAAGGUCCAUGGUCAAAAGGGAAACAGCCCAGAUCAUCAGUUAAGGUCCCAAAAUUACCGCUAAGUGGAAAAGGAUGUGGGGAUGCACAGACAACUAGGAGGUUGGCUUAGAAGCAGCCACCCUUCAAAGAGUGCGUAACAGCUCACUAGUCGAGUGACCCUGCGCCGAAAAUUAACCGGGGCUAAGCGGUAUACCGAAACUAUGGCAAUGAUGUAAAUCAUUGGGUAGGGGAGCGUUCCAUGGGCGUUGAAGCUGUACCGUAAGGAGCAGUGGAGCGCAUGGAAGUGAGAAUGCCGGUGUGAGUAGCGAGAUGCAGGUGAGAAUCCUGCACACCGAUAGACCAAGGAUUCCAGGGGAAGGUUCGUCCGCCCUGGGUAAGUCGGGACCUAAGGCGAGGCUGAAAAGCGUAGUCGAUGGAAAACAGGUUGAUAUUCCUGUACCCGCGCAUCGAGUGAUGGAGUGACAAAGAAGGCUAACCGGACCGGUGAAUGGAUUCCGGACCAAGCGAGGUAGGAGGCAGUCAGGCAAAUCCGGCUGUCAAUCUGAAGGCGUGAUGGGGAGUGAACAGCGCGAGCUAAGUAGCGAAGACGGCGAUGCCAGCUUUCAAGAAAAGCUUCUAGCGCUAAUCGAUGAGCGGCCCGUACCAAAACCGACACAGGUGGUCAAGGCGAGAAGCCUAAGGUGAGCGAGAGAACUGUUGCCAAGGAACUCGGCAAAAUAGCCCCGUACGUUCGCAAGAAGGGGCGCUCGAAAGAGCCGCAGUGAAGAGGCCCAAGCAACUGUUUAACUAAAACACAGCUCUCUGCAAAGUCGCAAGACGAAGUAUAGGGGGUGACGCCUGCCCGGUGCUGGAAGGUUAAGAGGAUAUGUUAGCCGCAAGACGAAGCAUUGAAUUGAAGCCCCAGUGAACGGCGGCCGUAACUAUAACGGUCCUAAGGUAGCGAAAUUCCUUGUCAGGUAAGUUCUGACCC
Molecule: ribosomal RNA, 1959 nt
Filed under: gut metagenome
Description: bacterial LSU rRNA
Rfam family: Bacterial large subunit ribosomal RNA
Source: RNAcentral